Coregonus clupeaformis (lake whitefish) is the source of this 890-nucleotide long non-coding RNA. RefSeq lists it as uncharacterized. The record is from RefSeq and is a predicted model, not a curated record. NCBI's taxonomy places the organism in Eukaryota, Metazoa, Chordata, Actinopteri, Salmoniformes, Salmonidae. The transcript is spliced from 8 exons.
UAAAUCAAUGCGAAUGCAUUCCAUUUAUAUUCAGCCUCCACGGUGCUAUUGGUCUCCUUCGCCUCUCGGAUCCUACAGAAAGAUGGCUUACAUGGUGGGAGUGCAAUUAUCAGAACCUGUUAUGAAGGCAAUGGAAAUGACACACUGGACAAGGUUAAAAUGGUUUGCUUAAGGACUCUUUCAAGUGUCCUGAUGACUAAAUGGUAUGACAGGAUCCUAGUGGCUGAAUGAGCCCCAGUAGAUGCAGAACAAUGAUCUGGUGUGGCUAGAAGCAUGAUGCAAUCUGAAAAGAAACCAUUGAAUCAGAAGCGGUGGAAACAGGCAUGAUGGCUUGGAAGUUGUGGCGCUGUCCCUGUCAGGUGACUGGAUGGUGAAUUCACAACUAACUUGUAGUGUGGCUGUUCAGAACAAGAAAUGGGAGGGCUAUCGGAAGGUGCUGAAACACUACCAUGGGAGGCAGCAGUCUGUUGGUUUUUCUCCUGAUUGUUUUGGAUGCAUAUGUGCACUAAUUGUAGUCUCUGUUAGAAUGUUUCACCUGUGCGACUUACUGCUCUUCCACUUUUAGGUACCCAAUCAAAACCAGAAACUGGUGUUUUGGUCCUUAUUUUAACUGUCAAUUUGUGGAUUUUUAAUUAGUAUUUUCUUAGGCAAAUCUAGUGGACCUCUAUUGCAGACUAGUGAUUUUAAUCUAGUAAGACCUUAAAUGUUUUGGUUACAAUUGUCAAUAAAAUGAAUGAAUGCAUGUCUAACAUGUCAAUGUUAGAAAUUAAUUGAUGGCAAAUCGGGGUGUUUUCCAUAUGGAUUAAUUUGGAUGUUCAGUGAAUUCUUUGCUUAGUAAACCAUUGCAUUUGGCGGUCAAUUAAUGUGAAUAAACAUUUACGUUAUUCUUA